GUGCCAGCCGCCGCGGUAAUACGGAGGGUGCAAGCGUUGUUCGGAAUCAUUGGGUGUAAAGCGUGCGCAGGCGGCCUAUUAAGUCUGAUGUGAAAUCCCGAGGCUCAACCUCGGAGGUGCAUUGGAAACUGGUAGGCUUGAGUCCGAGAGAGGUUAGUGGAAUUCGUGGUGUAGGGGUGAAAUCCGUAGAUAUCACGAGGAACACCAGUGGCGAAGGCGACUGACUGGAUCGGUACUGACGCUGAGGCACGAAAGCGUGGGGAGCAAACAGGAUUAGAUAUCCUGGUAGUCCACGCCGUAAACGAUGUUCGCUAGUUGAUGCACCAAUUGAGGGUGCGUUGACGCAGCUAACGCACUAAGUGAACCACCUGGGAGUACGGCCGCAAGGUUAAAACUCAAAGGAAUUGACGGGGGCUCGCACAAGCGGUGGAGCAUGUGGUUUAAUUCGAAGCAACGCGAAGAACCUUACCUGGAUUUGACAUCCCGUGAACCUCGCCUAACAGCGAGGGUGCCCUUCGGGGAGCACGGUGACAGGUGCUGCAUGGCUGUCGUCAGCUCGUGUCGUGAGAUGUUCGGUUAAGUCCGGCAACGAGCGCAACCCCUGUCCUUAGUUGCUACCACGUAAUGGUGGGCACUCUAAGGAGACUGCCGGAGUGAAUUCGGAGGAAGGUGGGGAUGACGUCAAGUCCUCAUGGCCCUUAUAUCCAGGGCUACACACGUGCUACAAUGGCCGGUACAAAGGGCAGCUAACUCGCGAGAGUGUGCCAAUCCCAUAAAGCCGGCCUCAGUUCGGAUUGCAGUCUGCAACUCGACCGCAUGAAGCUGGAAUCGCUAGUAAUCGUGGGUCAGCAUACCACGGUGAAUACGUUCCCGGGCCUUGUACACACCGCCCGUCACACCAUGGAAGUCGUUUGCUCCAGAAGUCGGUGACCCAACUUUUUGAGGGAGCCGCCGAAGGAGUGAACGGUGACUGGGGUGAAGUCGUAACAAGGUAACC
Molecule: ribosomal RNA, 997 nt
Filed under: uncultured delta proteobacterium
Lineage: Bacteria; Deltaproteobacteria
Description: bacterial SSU rRNA
Rfam family: Bacterial small subunit ribosomal RNA
Source: RNAcentral